RNAcentral lists this long non-coding RNA (1357 nucleotides) under Vitis vinifera (wine grape). RNAcentral's name for it is "long non-coding RNA (VVIN_LNC007337)". The record is from RNAcentral. Lineage: Eukaryota; Viridiplantae; Streptophyta; Magnoliopsida; Vitales; Vitaceae.
UGGGGAUGCCCUACUACACUAAAGGAAGUGGGAGUCUGCUAAGUAAUCCCUAGGAAAGGGUAUGCCCUAACAAAAUUGAAGGAAGUUGGUUGGUCUAAACAAACUCUAGGAAAGGGAAUGAAUUGAAAAUCUCCAUGAAGAUGGAUGACCUAAGAAACUGAAGGAAGGGUGAUGGACUAAAGUAAAUCAAGGUAGUUUGAUAGCCCAAUGAAUAGGAAUGUCCUAAAAAAAAUAGAGGAAUGGGAAUACCCUAAUAGCACUUGAGGAAAGAGGAUGCCCUCAAUAAACUCAAUGAAGGGGAAUACCCUAAACAAACUUAAGGAAGGGGAUGCCCAAAAACAAUUCAAGGAAGGAGGAUGUCCUGAACAUACUCAAGGAAUAGGGCAUACCCUUAAACAAACUCAAGAAAGGGGGAUGUGCUAAACAUACUCAAGGAUGUGGGCAUAACCUAAACAAAUGCAAGGAAUUGCUACAAAGAAACUAUGGGAUGGGUAGGAGGAGAUGCCUUAAUAACAUUGAAGAAAAUGGGAUGAUCUAAACAUAGAUUAGGAUGGUGGAUGCCAUAAAUUAACUGAAUGAAGGGGGACGCCUUAAACAAAAUAAUGGCAAAAGAUGCCUUAAUAAGACUCGAUGAAAUCACAUUCCCUAAAUGAACUCAAAGAAGGUCCAUGCAUUAAAGAAACAAAAAAGAUGAGGUUGCCCUAUAUAAACUCAACGAUGGAGGAUGCCCUAAAACAACUCAAAAAAAGGCAUUGCCAUUAGGAACUUCAUGGAAGGGGAAUGCGCUAAGAAGACUCAAGGAUGGGGGUUCCCUUAAACAUAAUCAAAUGAGGGGAUGCCAUAAGUAACUCUAAGAAUUAGGUUGCCCUAAACAAACUCUAGGCAGGGGGAUGCACUAAAAAAAUUCUCAAGGAAGAGGGCACAAACACUAAACAAACUCGAGGAAUAGAUAUUCUAUAAAGAAACUAAGGGAUAGUGGGACGUCUUAAUAAGACUCAAGGAAGGGGGAUGCCUUAAACAAAGAUAUGGAGGGAGAAUGUUGCAAACAAACUCAAAGAAGUGAUGUGCUAACAAGACUCAAUGAAGGGGGAUGCGCUAAUGAAACUCAAAGAAGGGGGAUUCUCUUAACAAAAUUUGGGAAGGGGAUGUCAUUAACAAACUCAAGGAAGGGGGAUGCUCUAAACAAACUCUUGGAAAGGGAAUGAAUUACAAAAUUUCCAUGAAAAAGAAUGACCUAAGAAACUAAAGCAAGGGUGACGCCCUAAUGUAACUCAAGGGAGUGGGAUGGCCUAAGGAAACUCAAGGAACAUGGAUGCAUAAAACAAACUAAAGGAAGGGGGAUGCCCUAUUAAAACUC